CCUACGGGAGGCAGCAGUAGGGAAUCUUCCACAAUGGGCGAAAGCCUGAUGGAGCAACGCCGCGUGGGUGAAGAAGGUCUUCGGAUCGUAAAACCCUGUUGUUAGAGAAGAAAGUGCGUGAGAGUAACUGUUCACGUUUCGACGGUAUCUAACCAGAAAGCCACGGCUAACUACGUGCCAGCAGCCGCGGCAAUACGUAGGUGGCAAGCGUUAUCCGGAUUUAUGGGGGGUAAAGGGAGCGAAGGCGGUAUUUUAAGUCUGAUGUGAAAGCCUUCGGCUUAACCGGAGUAGUGCAUGGGAAACUGGGAGACUUGAGUGCAGAAGAGGAGAGUGGAACUCCAUGUGUAGCGGUGAAAUGCGUAGAUAUAUGGAAGAACACCAGUGGCGAAGGCGGCUCUCUGGUCUGUAACUGACGCUGAGGUUCGAAAGCGUGGGUAGCAAACAGGAUUAGAUACCCGAGUAGUC
RNAcentral lists this ribosomal RNA (465 nucleotides) under uncultured bacterium. Its description in RNAcentral is "partial 16S ribosomal RNA". It matches the Rfam family "Bacterial small subunit ribosomal RNA", at positions 338 to 795 of the family's 1533-position model. The record is from RNAcentral.